UAAGUGCUGAAAGCAUCUAGGCACGAAACUUGCCCCGAGAUGAGCCCUGCCUGAGACAUGAAGUCUCCUGAAGGAACGUUAAAGACGAUGACGUUGAUAGGUCGGGUGUGUAAGCGUAGCGAUACGUUGAGCUAACCGAUACUAAUGAACCGUGAGGCUUAACCUUACAACGCCGAAG
RNAcentral lists this ribosomal RNA (178 nucleotides) under Mesorhizobium sp. RNAcentral's name for it is "partial 23S ribosomal RNA". It matches the Rfam family "Bacterial large subunit ribosomal RNA", at positions 2765 to 2925 of the family's 2925-position model. The record is from RNAcentral. Lineage: Bacteria; Pseudomonadati; Pseudomonadota; Alphaproteobacteria; Hyphomicrobiales; Phyllobacteriaceae.